Molecule: ribosomal RNA, 270 nt
Filed under: uncultured bacterium
Lineage: Bacteria
Description: partial 16S ribosomal RNA
Rfam family: Bacterial small subunit ribosomal RNA
Source: RNAcentral
GCAAGUCGUACGAGAACUCUUUAAGCUUGCUUAGAGAAAGUAAAGUGGCGCACGGGUGAGUAACGCGUGGGUAAUCUACCCUUGAAUCCGGAAUAACUCGCCGAAAGGCAUGCUAAUACCGAAUAAUAUCAUUUAAACCUUGGUUUUUAUGAUCAAAGGUGGCCUCUACAUGUAAGCUACCGUUUAAGGAUGAACCCGCGUACCAUUAGCUUGUUGGUGGGGUAACGGCCUACCAAGGCUACGAUGGUUAGCUGGUCUGAGAGGAUGAUC